UUGCUGUGAUGAUACACUCAAAUGUGGUUUCGACUGGCUGACGGUUGAAUGAGGACACUCAAUUCCUUGGCUGUGUCUGAGCAA
Hemicordylus capensis (graceful crag lizard) is the source of this 84-nucleotide small nucleolar RNA. RefSeq annotates it as small nucleolar RNA SNORD53/SNORD92. The record is from RefSeq and is a predicted model, not a curated record. The transcript has a single exon. Lineage: Eukaryota; Metazoa; Chordata; Lepidosauria; Squamata; Cordylidae.